UCUCCAUGUCAGUCAAGUCGCUCAA
This 25-nucleotide unclassified non-coding RNA is filed under the name Mus musculus (house mouse). RNAcentral describes it as "oocyte_clustered_small_RNA13260". The record is from RNAcentral. Lineage: Eukaryota; Metazoa; Chordata; Mammalia; Rodentia; Muridae.